UGCCUAACACAUGCAAGUCGAACGGUAACAGCACUUCGGUGGCUGACGAGUGGCGAACGGGUGAGUAAUACAUCGGAACGUGCCCGAGAGUGGGGGAUAACGCAGCGAAAGCUGUGCUAAUACCGCAUACGAUCUACGGAUGAAAGCAGGGGACCGCAAGGCCUUGCGCUCAUGGAGCGGCCGAUGGCAGAUUAGGUAGUUGGUGGGAUAAAAGCUUACCAAGCCGACGAUCUGUAGCUGGUCUGAGAGGACGACCAGCCACACUGGGACUGAGACACGGCCCAGACUCCUACGGGAGGCAGCAGUGGGGAAUAUUGCACAAUGGGCGCAAGCCUGAUGCAGCCAUGCCGCGUGUGUGAAGAAGGCCUUCGGGUUGUAAAGCUC
RNAcentral lists this ribosomal RNA (384 nucleotides) under uncultured organism. RNAcentral's name for it is "bacterial SSU rRNA". It matches the Rfam family "Bacterial small subunit ribosomal RNA", at positions 45 to 433 of the family's 1533-position model. The record is from RNAcentral.